GUCGAGCAGGACAACCCUUGCCGUCCACGAAGGGAGCGACUUGGCCGGGACAAGGCAAGAGGGAACGGAUUUCCAGGAGAACCAUCCGCGGAGUGCCCCAAGCACUGAGCAGCAAACUCCCGAUUAACUUUCCGGAUUUAUUUAUGCUACUGCAGCCAAUUCUUGAAAAGCCUGUUCCUAGAGCUGAAAGAAACAUCUACACUAAGGAACUAGUGAAGGAGAGUAAGCACUCAAGCCCGAAUGUGUAAGACAUAUAGAAGAGGACAACACAGAAGGAAGCCAUACCCAGGAGCCAGAGAAGA
This is a non-coding RNA of Pelodiscus sinensis (Chinese soft-shelled turtle), 302 nucleotides long. The record is from RefSeq and is a predicted model, not a curated record. Lineage: Eukaryota; Metazoa; Chordata; Testudines; Trionychidae.